AGAGUUUGAUCCUGGCUCAGAAUCAACGCUGGCGGCGCGCUUAACACAUGCAAGUCGAGCGAGAAAGGGGAGCAAUCCCUGAGUACAGCGGCGUACGGGUGAGUAACACGUGGGUCAUCUACCUCUUUGUGGGGAAUAACCCUGGGAAACCGGGGCUAAUACCGCAUAAGCCUAGAAAGGGAAAGCAAGCAAUUGCGCAGAGAGAGGAGCCCGCGGCCGAUUAGCUAGUUGGUGAGGUAACGGCUCACCAAGGCGACGAUCGGUAGCCGGCCUGAGAGGGCACACGGCCACACUGGCACUGAAACACGGGCCAGACUCCUACGGGAGGCAGCAGUGGGGAAUCUUGCACAAUGGAGGCAACUCUGAUGCAGCGACGCCGCGUGAGCGAUGAAGCCCCUCGGGGUGUAAAGCUCUCUCGGCAGGAACGAUCAUGACGGUACCUGAAGAAGAAGCUGCGGCUAACUACGUGCCAGCAGCCGCGGUAAUACGUAGGCAGCGAGCGUUGUUCGGAAUUACUGGGCGUAAAGAGUGUGUAGGCGGUGCUCUAAGUUCGGUGUGAAAUCUCCCGGCUUAACUGGGAGGGUGCGCCGGACACUGGAGUGCUCGAGCGUGGGAGAGGAAAGCGGAAUUCCUGGUGUAGCGGUGAAAUGCGUAGAUAUCAGGAGGAACACCUGUGGUGUAGACGGCUUUCUGGACCAUAGCUGACGCUGAGACACGAAAGCGUGGGUAGCAAACAGGAUUAGAUACCCUGGUAGUCC
This 758-nucleotide ribosomal RNA is filed under the name uncultured bacterium. Its description in RNAcentral is "bacterial SSU rRNA". It matches the Rfam family "Bacterial small subunit ribosomal RNA", at positions 8 to 796 of the family's 1533-position model. The record is from RNAcentral.